Molecule: ribosomal RNA, 253 nt
Filed under: uncultured bacterium
Lineage: Bacteria
Also listed under: 1 other name
Description: partial 16S ribosomal RNA
Rfam family: Bacterial small subunit ribosomal RNA
Source: RNAcentral
UACGAAGGGUGCAAGCGUUACUCGGAAUUACUGGGCGUAAAGCGUGCGUAGGUGGUUUGUUAAGUCUGAUGUGAAAGCCCUGGGCUCAACCUGGGAAUUGCACUGGAUACUGGCAGGCUAGAGUGCGGUAGAGGAUGGCGGAAUUCCCGGUGUAGCAGUGAAAUGCGUAGAGAUCGGGAGGAACAUCCGUGGCGAAGGCGGCCAUCUGGACCAGCACUGACACUGAGGCACGAAAGCGUGGGGAGCAAACAGG